CCUACGGGAGGCAGCAGUGGGGAAUAUUGGGCAAUGGGCGCAACCCUGACCCAGCAACGCCGCGUGAAGGAAGAAGGCUUUCGGGUUGUAAACUUCUUUUGACAGGGAAGAGCAGAAGACGGUCCCUGUCGAAUACGCCACGGCGAUCUGCGUGCCAGCAGCCGGGGUAAUAGGUAGGUGGCAAGCGUUCUCCGUAUUUACUGGGUGUAAAGGGCGUGUAGCCGGGCUGACAAGUCAGAUGUGAAAUCAGGGGGCUCAACCCCCGAACUGCUUUUGAAACUGUUGGUCUUGAGUAUCGGAGAGGCAAGCGGAAUUCCUAGUGUAGCGGUGAAAUGCGGAGAUAUUAGGAGGAACACCAGUGGCGAAGGCGGCCUGCUGGACGACAACUGACGGUGAGGCGCGAAAGCGUGGGGAGCAAACAGGAUUAGAUACCCGGGUAGUC
Molecule: ribosomal RNA, 442 nt
Filed under: uncultured bacterium
Lineage: Bacteria
Description: partial 16S ribosomal RNA
Rfam family: Bacterial small subunit ribosomal RNA
Source: RNAcentral